This 253-nucleotide ribosomal RNA is filed under the name uncultured bacterium. RNAcentral describes it as "partial 16S ribosomal RNA". It matches the Rfam family "Bacterial small subunit ribosomal RNA", at positions 524 to 776 of the family's 1533-position model. The record is from RNAcentral.
UACGUAGGGCGCAAGCGUUGUCCGGAAUCACUGGGUGUAAAGGGUGCGUAGGCGGAUGGAUAAGUCAGCGGUGAAAUCUCACGGCUCAACCGUGAAACUGCCGAUGAUACUGCCCAUCUUGAGUUUGGGAGAGGUCGAUGGAAUUCCAGGUGUAGCGGUGAAAUGCGUAGAUAUCUGGAAGAACACCAGUGGCGAAGGCGGUCGACUGGCCCACAACUGACGCUGAGGCACGAAAGCGUGGGGAUCAAACAGG